CCACCUCCCAUGGCCCUGAGGCUGGGCUGCAGUUUCCCGACAGCCUAGGACCGCUGGGACUGCUGCCUCUCCCUCUGCUCUGCUCUCCCCAAGGCCAAGGUCGCCCUGCUUCUUUCCCAACCCCAUCCCCCCACAUGCCCCAGGGUCCCUCCUGUACAUGACAGGGUCACCACUCACCAGUCUCUGCGGGGGCCUCAUCUGUGACUCCUGGAGAGGCCCAGCCCGGGGUAACCACUACCCCCCCAUCUGUGGAGAGAAAUCAGAGGCCAGUGGUUCCGCUGCAGGACCUGCUGCUGGUUGGCAAUGACACGCCGGAUGCCGUUGACAAAGUUGCCCUGGUCAUGGGGGAUGAGGCCAAUGAAGAUUUUCUUCUCCGAAGAGUACAGGAGCAUAAGCACGCGGAUCUCACACGAUGCUUUGUAGGAAAAGUGCACGCAGCCGGCCUGGCAGGCACAGGGCGUGGUGUCACCAGACAGCACCACAGGGACUCAGGCCACGGGGACCAGCAUCCCUCCAACCAUGGCACCAUGCCGUGGGCUCCAUGAGCCAGGCACAGCCUAAC
Molecule: small RNA, 562 nt
Filed under: Pan troglodytes (chimpanzee)
Lineage: Eukaryota; Metazoa; Chordata; Mammalia; Primates; Hominidae
Description: processed transcript
Source: RNAcentral